UACGGUGGGAGCAAGCGUUGUUCGGAUUUACUGGGCGUAAAGGGCGCGUAGGCGGCCACCGCAAGUCGACUGUGAAAUCUCUGGGCUUAACCCAGAAAGGUCAGCCGAUACUGCGGGGCUAGAGUGCAGAAGGGGCAACUGGAAUUCUCGGUGUAGCGGUGAAAUGUGUAGAUAUCGAGAGGAACACCUGCGGCGAAGGCGGGUUGCUGGGCUGACACUGACGCUGAAGCGCGCAAGCUAGGGGAGCGAACGGG
RNAcentral lists this ribosomal RNA (254 nucleotides) under uncultured bacterium. RNAcentral describes it as "partial 16S ribosomal RNA". It matches the Rfam family "Bacterial small subunit ribosomal RNA", at positions 524 to 776 of the family's 1533-position model. The record is from RNAcentral.